AGUGGCGCACGGGUGAGUAACGCGUAGAUAAUCUGCCUGAUGAUCUGGGAUAACACUUCGAAAGAGGUGCUAAUACCGAAUAGCCCACGGGUCUUUGGAUUUGCGGGAAAGGGGGGACUUCGGGCCUUCUGUCAUCAGAUGAGUCUGCGUACCAUUAGCUAGUUGGUAGGGUAAUGGCCUACCAAGGCUACGAUGGUUAGCUGGUCUGAGAGGAUGAUCAGCCACACUGGAAAUGAGACACGGUCCAGACUCCUACGGGAGGCAGCAGUGGGGAAUUUUGCGCAAUGGGCGAAAGCCUGACGCAGCAACGCCGCGUGAGUGAUGAAGGCUUUCGGGUCGUAAAGCUCUGUCGAGGGGAAAGAAGUGUACUUUGGCUAAUAUCCAUUGUACUUGACGGUACCCCUAAAGGAAGCACCGGCUAACUCCGUGCCAGCAGCCGCGGUAAUACGGGGGGUGCAAGCGUUGUUCGGAAUUAUUGGGCGUAAAGCGCGUGUAGGCGGUUUGAUAAGUCUGAUGUGAAAGCCCUGGGCUCAACCCAGGAAGUGCAUUGGAAACUGUCAGACUUGAAUACGGGAGAGGGUAGUGGAAUUCCUAGUGUAGGAGUGAAAUCCGUAGAUAUUAGGAGGAACACCGGUGGCGAAGGCGGCUACCUGGACCGAUAUUGACGCUGAGACGCGAAAGCGUGGGUAGCAAACAGGAUUAGAUACCCUGGUAGUCCACCCCGUAAACGCUCACACUAGCUGUUGC
RNAcentral lists this ribosomal RNA (747 nucleotides) under uncultured bacterium. Its description in RNAcentral is "bacterial SSU rRNA". It matches the Rfam family "Bacterial small subunit ribosomal RNA", at positions 94 to 826 of the family's 1533-position model. The record is from RNAcentral.